GCGGGAGAAUCCCCAACAAGCUUGGGAAUUUCACCCCCAGGGGCAGCGCCUGCACGGGAGUGGGGCCUCCUCCUUUCAGAUGAACACAGUUGUCUGCUGCCUCCCACGUUCCACUUCUUAAAUGAGCAUGUUUGUGCUGUAUAGGCAAGGGCAACAGAAAACGCAAAGUGUCCUUUCCAGGAGGGCCAAAGGAGGGGGGCAGGGACGCUGGGAAGAGGCGCCAAAGCGGAGGACGGCUGCAGGGGUGACUUCAGCGCUUGGCUACCAAGACCAGGUGUUUCUCUUCCUCCUGCCCUGGGUACCAUCCCACAGAGAGGCCAGGCCCACCUGCAGGUCCUCACCUCCACAGAGCCAGCCUCUCUUGAGCAGCUCCGCUCUGCCUUCUGAUACUCAUCGCCACAAGCACCUUGUCCUUCCUCGGCCUCCCACUCCCUCCCUCUGAGCCCGCGCCCUGCUCCCCUGCCUGGCGGUCAGUCGACUGCCCCGCCCCGCCUCCAAUUCAGGUGGACAGGCUUCAGCGUCCACUACCGGGGAAGAGGCAGCCCCGCACCCGUGCCUCCCCCCGCCUCUGGGCCGCUCCUUCCCAGCCUGAGCCUGACCGCAUGAGGAAGGCACAACCUCUCUGCUCCAGAGACCUGGAGAGGCCGGGAGGCCCUGUCCUGGGCAUGGAAGGCAGGAGGGAGCCCUGAGUGCGGCAGGAGGGAAGCAGCGCUUCAGGGGAAGGAUCUAAUGGCUGUGACCUGCGUGGGCUGCAGAAAAGAAAUCUCUAAUGCACUGAUGAAUGGAGGAAGGGCAUCACCAAGCCGGUCGGUAUAGGAAGGGGACCCAACAGACAUUCAACUCUUUGGUAACCCUCCCUUCACGCCCAAUUCCAGAAUGCUUUCUGUUGCUACCAUAUCUAUGCUUUUCAGGGGAUUAUGCACUGUAAAUUGAUUUGCUUAUCACUGGCUUUCUCCACCACUGGCUCAGUGAGAUUCAACUUUUUCAGCUCUGCUAAAUCUUCCAAGGUCUCCAUCUGCUUUCUGGGUUCAAAUAUUUCAUUGGCUCCUCUCCUGGUCUUCCCGAGCUUGUGGAUUUGUCUUCUAAACAAAUCCCUUUACUGUUGCUUUUGAGAAAGUUGAGAGUAUCUUCUAUUUUUCUAAUAUUUGCAGCAUCUAUAAUAUCCUUUUAAUUCCCUGUGUACUUAAAAAAAUUAAUAUUUGUCAAUUUUUCUUUAAAAGAACCAACUUCUGGCUUCGUUGAUGCUAUGCUUAAUUUCUGUGCAUAUCUACUUCCUUUAGGUUUAUUUUGCUGUUCUAAUUUCUUGAAACAGAUGUUUAGCUCAAUUUUCAGCCUUUAUUACAUCCUAGUAUAACUUUGAUAUUUAGAUUUAGAAUUUACAUUCUAUUAUUCAGAACUAAUUAAAAUUCUAUAAUCUUAAUACAUUAAUGUAAUAAUUUAAUGCUGUAAAACCUUUAAAUUACUGUUGCAGCUGCAUCCCUCGUUUUGACAUAUUUUUAUUAUUGUUCAGGUUAAAUUUCCUUCAUGAUUUCUUCUUGGACCCAUGAGUUAAUUUCUAAACAUACAGAGGUCGUCUUGUAAUCUUUUAAUUUUGGUUUCUAACUUAAUUGCACUGUGGUUGGAGUGUGGUCUACGUGGUAACAACCCUUUCAAAUUUGUUGAGAUUGACUCUACCGUCCAGUAUAUGGUCGCUUUUUGAAAAAGUUCCAUAGGUGAUCAAAAUGAAUGUGCAGUUGUUAGAUGCAAUUUUUUUUUUAACAGGUUUAUGCUCGGUCAUUGGUUUCCACACAUCUGUGCUUUCAGGAUGAAGAUGUGGUCUUCUAAACACGUCCAUUUUACCAAACUUGCUAAAUGUUUAAAUCUCUUAUAUACUUUCCUGAAUUUUUUGUUGCUUGGUCUACAUGAAGCAUAUUAAAAUCUCCCACUAUGAUGCUGGAUUUCUUAUUUUUCCAUAUAGCUGUUUUUGUUUUACAUAUUUUGAGGCAAUGUUAUUAGGUGCAUAACUUAGAAUCUUUGUUUUUCUGAAGAAUUGGGUAAGCAUAUCAUUAUGUAGUGGUUCGAUCUGUAGUA
Molecule: long non-coding RNA, 2070 nt
Organism: Homo sapiens (human)
Lineage: Eukaryota; Metazoa; Chordata; Mammalia; Primates; Hominidae
Exons: 3
Source: RefSeq, a predicted model, not a curated record